Molecule: ribosomal RNA, 609 nt
Filed under: Pantoea vagans
Lineage: Bacteria; Pseudomonadati; Pseudomonadota; Gammaproteobacteria; Enterobacterales; Erwiniaceae
Description: bacterial SSU rRNA
Rfam family: Bacterial small subunit ribosomal RNA
Source: RNAcentral
CGGUGGAGCAUGUGGUUUAAUUCGAUGCAACGCGAAGAACCUUACCUACUCUUGACAUCCACGGAAUUCGGCAGAGAUGCCUUAGUGCCUUCGGGAACCGUGAGACAGGUGCUGCAUGGCUGUCGUCAGCUCGUGUUGUGAAAUGUUGGGUUAAGUCCCGCAACGAGCGCAACCCUUAUCCUUUGUUGCCAGCGAUUCGGUCGGGAACUCAAAGGAGACUGCCGGUGAUAAACCGGAGGAAGGUGGGGAUGACGUCAAGUCAUCAUGGCCCUUACGAGUAGGGCUACACACGUGCUACAAUGGCGCAUACAAAGAGAAGCGACCUCGCGAGAGCAAGCGGACCUCACAAAGUGCGUCGUAGUCCGGAUCGGAGUCUGCAACUCGACUCCGUGAAGUCGGAAUCGCUAGUAAUCGUGGAUCAGAAUGCCACGGUGAAUACGUUCCCGGGCCUUGUACACACCGCCCGUCACACCAUGGGAGUGGGUUGCAAAAGAAGUAGGUAGCUUAACCUUCGGGAGGGCGCUUACCACUUUGUGAUUCAUGACUGGGGUGAAGUCGUAACAAGGUAACCGUAGGGGAACCUGCGGUUGGAUCACCUCCUUACCUGAA